Molecule: ribosomal RNA, 246 nt
Filed under: uncultured bacterium
Lineage: Bacteria
Description: partial 16S ribosomal RNA
Rfam family: Bacterial small subunit ribosomal RNA
Source: RNAcentral
GUAUGGAGCAAGCGUUAUCCGGAUUUACUGGGUGUAAAGGGAGCGCAGGCGGCGCGGCAAGUCUGGUGUGAAAUACCGGGGCCCAACCCCGGGACUGCAUUGGAAACUGUCGGGCUGGAGUGUCGGAGGGGCAGGCGGAAUUCCUAGUGUAGCGGUGAAAUGCGUAGAUAUUAGGAGGAACACCGGUGGCGAAGGCGGCCUGCUGGACGACAACUGACGCUGAGGCUCGAAAGCGUGGGGAGCAAA